GACGAACGCUGGCGGCGUGCCUAAUACAUGCAAGUCGAACGCAGUGGGGACGGGUGAGUAACACGUGGGUACCCUCCCCAUCAGAGGGGAUAACACUUGGAAACAGGUGCUAAACCGAUACGGAUGGCUGGACCCGCGGUGGAUUAGCUAGUUGGUGAGGUAACGGCUCACCAAGGCCACGAUGCAUAGCCGACCGGAGAGGGUGAUCGGCAAAGCUGGAAUUGAGAAACGGCCCAGAAUCCUACGGGAGGCAGCAGGAGGGAAUCUUCGGCAAUGGACGAAAUUCUGACCGAGAAACGCCGGGUGAGGGAAGAAGGUUUGCGGAUCGUAAAACUCUGGUGUUAGAGAAGCGGUAUCGAACCAGAAAGCCACGGCUAACUACGUGCCAGCCGCCGCGGUAAUUC
Molecule: ribosomal RNA, 404 nt
Filed under: uncultured bacterium
Lineage: Bacteria
Description: partial 16S ribosomal RNA
Rfam family: Bacterial small subunit ribosomal RNA
Source: RNAcentral